RNAcentral lists this ribosomal RNA (466 nucleotides) under uncultured bacterium. RNAcentral's name for it is "partial 16S ribosomal RNA". It matches the Rfam family "Bacterial small subunit ribosomal RNA", at positions 28 to 507 of the family's 1533-position model. The record is from RNAcentral.
GACGAACGCUGGCGGCGUGCUUAACACAUGCAAGUCGUGCGGUAAGGCCCUUUCGGGGGUGCACGAGCGGCGAACGGGUGAGUAACACGUGAGCAACCUGCCCUUCCCUUUGGGAUAACUGCCGGAAACGGUGGCUAAUACCGGAUAUGACUUCCCCCCUCAUGUGGGGUGGGGGAAAGCCUUCGGGUGGUGGGGGAUGGGCUCGCGGUCUAUCAGCUUGUUGGUGGGGUGAUGGCCUACCAAGGCUUCGACGGGUAGCCGGCCUGAGAGGGUGACCGGCCACACUGGGACUGAGACACGGCCCAGACUCCUACGGGAGGCAGCAGUGGGGAAUAUUGGACAAUGGGCGAAAGCCUGAUCCAGCAACGCCGCGUGAGGGAUGACGGCCUUCGGGUUGUAAACCUCUUUCGCCUGCGACGAAGCGAGAGUGACGGUAGCAGGUAAAGAAGCACCGGCCAACUACGUG